UGGGGUGUGGCUCAGUGGUAAAGCACUUGCCUCACAUGUGCAAGACCCUGGGUUUAAUCCUCAGCACCAUAU
Molecule: transfer RNA, 72 nt
Filed under: Urocitellus parryii (Arctic ground squirrel)
Lineage: Eukaryota; Metazoa; Chordata; Mammalia; Rodentia; Sciuridae
Also listed under: 2 other names
Description: Spermophilus parryii (Arctic ground squirrel) tRNA
Rfam family: tRNA
About the family: Transfer RNA (tRNA) molecules are approximately 80 nucleotides in length. Their secondary structure includes four short double-helical elements and three loops (D, anti-codon, and T loops). Further hydrogen bonds mediate the characteristic L-shaped molecular structure. tRNAs have two regions of fundamental functional importance: the anti-codon, which is responsible for specific mRNA codon recognition, and the 3' end, to which the tRNAs corresponding amino acid is attached (by aminoacyl-tRNA synthetases). tRNAs cope with the degeneracy of the genetic code in two manners: having more than one tRNA (with a specific anti-codon) for a particular amino acid; and 'wobble' base-pairing, i.e. permitting non-standard base-pairing at the 3rd anti-codon position.
Source: Rfam by way of RNAcentral